AUAGAUUAUUAAUUACCUAGAUGUCUCACUUCGGGAUUUUGCCAUACAUCCAGUUGGCGACACCCCUUUAGCGCUCCGCGCGCCACCACAGUCAAGUUACAGGUACUAAAUUGCUAAACAAAAUCGUAGCACUCUGCACUUUUCGACCAAAUGUUUCCUGACAUCAAAAAGUGUCACUAACUUGCUUUGUUUUAAACGGUUUCCAUGAUACCAACGGAGGUGGUGGCGGUUUGUGGCGGAGAGUUAGUUGCAACAAACGAUUUUCGCGAGGUGUAAACAGGGACUCUGCCGGGAACUGAUGGUCCGUUAAUGUGGAGUCUGCAGCAGCAAACUGGUUGCGCCAAUUCAUGGGAUUCGCGUCGUUGAAAAGUUGAUGUUCGAUAUAAAGGACCAGGCGUUGAUAGCGGAAAUGGCGAUUGACAAGGCCGCCACAGCAGUUCCCAUCCCAUGUGUCGUGUCCCCAACAACUUGAAUGAAACCAGCCCCGUUCCUGGCUGAGUACCUCAGGCCCAAAUAAAAGAGAAGUCGCACAAAGUUCAGUUAUGUAAUGUGAAAAAACAAGAAUAAUAAAAAAAACUAGAUUUUUAUUUUA
Molecule: long non-coding RNA, 592 nt
Organism: Culex pipiens pallens (northern house mosquito)
Lineage: Eukaryota; Metazoa; Arthropoda; Insecta; Diptera; Culicidae
Exons: 2
Source: RefSeq, a predicted model, not a curated record